Zalophus californianus (California sea lion) is the source of this 1090-nucleotide long non-coding RNA. RefSeq lists it as uncharacterized. Lineage: Eukaryota; Metazoa; Chordata; Mammalia; Carnivora; Otariidae. The transcript is spliced from 3 exons. The record is from RefSeq and is a predicted model, not a curated record.
CCUCACUCUCCCGGCUUCACCUUCAGCCUCCCAGUGUUCGGCGAAUGAAGCCUAUGUCUCCAGACCCUAUAUCCAUCCUGUUACUGCAAACAAGGGAUCGUGGGUUAUACCCUCCCAGAACGUAAACUCCGUGAAGGAAGAACAUUUCUCUGCUUUGCUCAUUGCUGAGAUCCCAGGGUCUAGAUGCAUGCUGGCCACACAGAAGGGCCAGAGCACAAGCAAUACAAACUGAGGAAAUAGCAAAUGCACCUAGUGCUUAUUCAACCAAAUGUGACAAAUAUGAAAGGCAAUUUGUGUACUCAAAUUAAAACUGACUAAAGUUACUCUGCUUUGGAUUAUCUUGGGUUGUAAGAACCACAGACGAAAGCACACACCCACCAAAACAGCUGGUGUCAAAAAGACGAGCAAUACCCAGUGUUGGCAAGGACGUGACACAAUUGGAACGCUCAGGCAUCGUUGAUGGGAGUGUCCGUCGGUCCAGUCAUUUUGGAAACCUGCUUGUAUCGACUUAGAGCUGCAUAGAUGCCGCCCCUGACCCAGCAAACACACUCACAGAUUUGUACCCAAGGGAAAUGAGAGUCUAUGCCCACGAAGAGACAUGUGCCGGAACAUUCCCUGCAGCUUAUCCCAGCAGGCAGACGCUGGAAACCACACAAGUGUCAGUCAAUGUGGCAAUAGUAGCAUGGGAUUCAUGCGGUGGAAUGCUGCCCAGCGGUGAAAGAGAAUGAACUACACUCUGGUGUGGCAACAUGGACAAAUCUCACGGAUGGAAUGAGGGAAUGAAGCCAGACAAAGACAUAGGGUACUUUUGCUAUGGUUCCUUUUGUAUGAAGUUCAAGAACAGUCAAAAUUACUUUUCGGUGACAGAGGUCAGAGCAGUGGUGAUCUGAACAGGAUGGGUCAGUACGGAUUGUCAGGGAACACAGCGGAACCUUCUGAGGUGUUGGAAAUGUUCCAUAGAUCUAGGUCAUGGUGCCCAGAUAUAUUCACACGCAAACAUUCAUCAGCUUGUACACUUGUCAUUUGCUCAUUGUUGUGUAUGUUAUACCGCAAUUUAAAAUUUAAAAAAACAACAACACAGUUGUAGACU